Long non-coding RNA from Leopardus geoffroyi (Geoffroy's cat), 768 nucleotides. RefSeq lists it as uncharacterized. Lineage: Eukaryota; Metazoa; Chordata; Mammalia; Carnivora; Felidae. The transcript has 6 exons. The record is from RefSeq and is a predicted model, not a curated record.
CUUAAAGGCAAGGCACGCAGCUAAAGCGACCUUUCCCUUAGAGUCGCUAUGGAGGGCUGCUGCAGUCCCAGGAACCUGAGGUCCCCGAAGGCCGGGCCCCCGCUCCCCGGACCCGCCGUGGGGAGCGCGCCAACCCCGGAGAAGUGGUCGCUGAAACCUCGACAGGGUGAUUGAACAUCACCGCCAGAACUUGGCCCUUAACACGCGUCGCCCUCCAUGUGCCAGCCGGGAGCAGGAUCCCUCCCUAAGGUUGCCAGUUAGCGUGCGAUCGUAGCAGCUGAGGAUUCGAGCGAUGAGUGGCCUGCCUUGAGGGGUGCCUGAAUUGCCCCAGGUUUUGAGUGCUGGGUUGUCGAAAAUCAGUGAUCAGCAGUGUGGAGUUGAAGCCGGUGGUGCCACAGCUCAGCCCAAGUAGAGGCUAUCUUCCCAGAGAAUGGUCAGCCAUGUGAGGACCAGUGACCACCAUCAGCUUGGACUGAAAACCUAGACUUCAGUAGUUGGUGUGGAAACAGUACUUACCUGAGGCUGAGAUUCAGAGCCCAUUCCGUUACCAGCAGUAGAACCAACAAAUGUGUUUUUCUAAGAUAGGUCACUGUUGGUUUUCUAGUGUUACAAAUACAUUUCUAGUUCUCCCUUGCCCAAAGAGCUUUCUGCGCUUUUUAAUUUUGUAUAAAUUCUGUUGGGUGAGGGUCUGAGUUCUUAAGCUUAAAGCUUAUUUCUUCCUGAAAUUAGCAUUUCCAUGCAAUUACAAUAAACCAGUACUACAAUAAA